ACGCUCGACACCUACGGGAAGCAGCAGUGGGGAAUAUUGCACAAUGGGGGAAACCCUGAUGCAGCGACGCCGCGUGAAGGAAGAAGUAUCUCGGUAUGUAAACUUCUAUCAGCAGGGAAGAAAGUGACGGUACCUGACUAAGAAGCCCCGGCUAACUACGUGCCAGCACGCCGGACGGUUAAUCUGGAGGCGGGCGUGGACGAAGGC
RNAcentral lists this ribosomal RNA (207 nucleotides) under uncultured bacterium. RNAcentral's name for it is "partial 16S ribosomal RNA". It matches the Rfam family "Bacterial small subunit ribosomal RNA", at positions 326 to 545 of the family's 1533-position model. The record is from RNAcentral.